RNAcentral lists this ribosomal RNA (253 nucleotides) under uncultured bacterium. RNAcentral's name for it is "partial 16S ribosomal RNA". It matches the Rfam family "Bacterial small subunit ribosomal RNA", at positions 524 to 776 of the family's 1533-position model. The record is from RNAcentral.
UACGGGGGGGGCAAGCGUUGUUCGGAAUUACUGGGCGUAAAGGGCUCGUAGGUGGCCAACUAAGUCGGACGUGAAAUCCCUCAGCUUAACUGGGGAACUGCGUCCGAUACUGGAUGGCUCGAGUUUGGGAGAGGGAUGCGGAAUUCCUGGUGUAGCGGUGAAAUGCGCAGAUAUCAGGAGGAACACCGGUGGCGAAGGCGGGUCUCUGGGCAAUAACUGACGCUGAGGAGCGAAAGCGUGGGGAGCGAACAGG